Molecule: long non-coding RNA, 5150 nt
Organism: Scophthalmus maximus (turbot)
Lineage: Eukaryota; Metazoa; Chordata; Actinopteri; Pleuronectiformes; Scophthalmidae
Exons: 2
Source: RefSeq, a predicted model, not a curated record
ACACACUGACACGCACACACACACUGACACACACACACACUGACACACACACACACUGACACACACACACACACACACACACACACACACACACACACACACACACACACACACUGCUGUGAGGUGUCAGGGACGUCGUCAGGGAGACAAUAUGCAGCGAAGCAGCAGUUUUCAUAUUUCUGUCCAACACUCAAACUCAAACUUCGCUUCCCGACUCGUGUCCCUGAAACCAAACACGACUUCAUUCACCAAGGAAAACUUUUUCAGACAUGUCAGUGAUGCUGAUGAGUCAAUCGCCGUUCAACACUUCACACCUUCUACUGUACAAACGCUCUAGUCUCCAAUUGGUCCUGUAGGAAUAUUCAGUCUUGACGUAGCUCCUGAUAAUAACUCUUCUCUCGUUGCUCAGUAGGCGUCGGUCACUUACCAGUAGAAAUGUACCAUCUAUUAUCUGCUAUAAAAAACUGAAUUAUCAGAUUAGUUUUGGCCUCAGAGCCGCUCCCACCAGACUUCUCUGUCCAGUCUUUGCUAUUUAAAGGUAAAUAAUAAUCGUCAGAAAUGUCUGAAGCAACCGAACAAGUUUCAUUUGUGUAAAUAUAAUUACAGCUCUAUACUCACACGUCACAUGUUCCACACAAGCGGCCGGAUGAUGGACGGAGCUCCUGGGCAGCUGCAGUGAAACGAUGCCAGUGUUUGGCUGCUUUCUUCUUCAAAUGUAGAAUUACAAGUUUCUGUUUGGCAGAGAAAAUCUCACAAAAGUCAAAUCUUUGAUUUCCAAGAUUGGGCGGGAAAGAAGAUUUUAAUAAUUACAAACUCCCUCAGCGUUUUUCCAGCUCUCUUUAGUGUGAUUUCCUAAUGUCACGAAGAAUCACCUGGUGUGAUGGUAUCGUCUGUGACGGCACGAUGAAUCGCUCCUCGAGCUGCCGCGUCCAACAAACAAGUGAAGGUCUCAGAUCAGAACCCGUCGGCCACAGAGAGGACGUCACGGAUCAAAGACCUAUGAGAACUUAAAGUAUGCACAUGUGAGGCAUUGGACACUUUAGCGCUGCGUCUUCCUGCUGGAGUUCCAGUGCAGCUGCGUUGAUCUCGACCGCGCUCGUCGCCACUGACUCAGCUGACAGCAGCGAGCUACCAAGCUCCAUCCAAGGGGUUCCGUCGAGGGGAAGUCAGGGACACGAUCGUACACACUUUGCUGCUGGGAGACACGGACGAAGCUCAGCAGGAGGCUCUGAGCUCGCAGGUUGUUAACAGCGUCAGGAACAUGUCGGAGGGAGAAGAUGAGAAUGGGAAUAUCAACAUUUCCCUCAGAUGUAAAUUAUGACAAAGUCUAUUUCCAUCCAACGAAAAAUUGACUUUGUUGUUCAAACGUCGAGACGAUAUUUCAGACGGGACUCGGUCCUGGCGCGCCCCCUAGUGGACAUGGCUCUUUGGACAGUUUCUAAAAAGCUCAAUCUAAAGACGCUGGUCGUCGUGUUGUGUCCUGCGAGGAGCCGUACGGAGGCUGAAUGUAUGAAUAUUAAUAUCUGUCUUCAGCCUCUCUGAUACAAAGCGGUGAGGUUUUCUGAGGAUUUAAUCAUCGGUGCUUCUUCAACCGUUGUUGUUGGGUCUGUUAGUUUGUGUCCUGAAGAGCUGCAGGAGGCGUUGGAAUGAGGUCGGUCCAUCAGGAGCGGCAGCUGUGAUCUGUAAUAACAGAUGUUAUCAGUGUUUUCUCUGAUCUGAGCUCGGCGUCGGAAGAGAAACCCGUCCCGUCGGGAGGCCGAUACCCGCUGUUGAGUCGCAUGUCAGCCGCCGCUGUAUCCGAGGCCGGAGGUCGGCUUCUGCUUCCGUUUAGUUCCCAGACGUUUGUGUCGGUUGAAUCCUCGACACGUUGAAGCGAACCAGUGGAGCGGUCGCUGGUUCCGAUCCAGACGUGGUUCGGUGAAACCGCGAAGAGAAUGAGGUUGUGAAAAUUUGGAGGAAUACGAUGGAGAGGGUGAAAGUGACGAAGGAAGAAACCAGUGGAGGAGGAUGGAGUUCUGUGACGGCUGUUGUUUUCCUCGUGGCCGUUCACGUCCCAGGAGGUUUUGUAUGUUUGAAGUUGUUGAGUGAAGGAAGAACACGAGAGGUCGAACGCUCUGUCUGAUGCUCCCGAACCAGCCGGAAGCAGAAUAUUCAGCUCCGUCAGUGGGAACGGAACAAUGAGUUCAUCUCGUUGAGCAGCAUCACUUUACUUUCUUGCAAUAAAUGUCACGUUAAUGAAAACGUUGACAAAUCAGUGAAACCUCACGAUUGAUUUUAUUUCUUCUUUCUGAGUCGAACCAGUAGGUUUGAAAAUGUGAUGGAGACUUGAUGAUACGUGUGAUCGUGACCUGAUAUCUGAACUCGUAUAUAUCAAUUUUGAAUAGAUUGGCGAUGAUUCCUAAGAUGACGUUAACCUCAGGCUUGAUAUUUUACAGUUUAACCAUAAACUUCAUAAUAAAUCUAGAAUUAAGAAAACAAACAAGUUUUGGAAACAUUGGAUCUUUUCUGCGUCUCCUGCUGACGAAGGUUAGCGUCGGUCGAUGGUUAGCGUCGGUCGAUGGUUAGCGUCGGUCGAUGGUUAGCGUCGGUCACUAAAGCCUCGCGCAGCAUCAAGCAGCCGAUUGGUUGAAUGAUUGAGUCCAACUCCCCCUGUGGACGUUUGAAGCAUUUUUCCGAGCCGCCUGAAUACAAGAAACGUUCCUGUGAUAUUUUCCUCUGAUGUUUCAAUGAUCCUCCCGCUGAUGCUGCUUCAUCUCUAGUGUUUUCAUAUCUGUGCUGCGUUGACGCCUCGGCUUUUUAAUGCACAACUCCUGAUGUGAAAUCACAGAAUCACAGCUGUACUUGAAUCUGCAUGAAAUCUUAAUAUCAAGUUGUUGACCACUGGUGGAUGCUGGGAAAUAUCAAUCAAGUUGUUUCAUCAAGUGAAUCCUGAAAUCAGGCUCCUCCUGAUAACGGUGGGAAAUGUCGACUUGUUUGGAGUUGAUCACUUACUCUUACCAAUGUGUCAUAUCACCAUAUCAUAUAUUUUUGUACGUGUUAUGCAUCGCCUGUCGUCAGAUCGUUGCCUGGCAGAGAUUCAGACGUUGGGAGAUUUAUUCUCGUCACGUUUGUCCAGAUGACAACGAGAUGCUGAUUCUUAAUUCAUUUUCUUCUUCUUCUUCUUGUUGUUUACCAUGAAAUUGAUGGUUCAGGGUUUCAACGGGCUCGUGCAGCGAAUCAGUGUGGGAGAGAAUCACCAAUGAAAAGCAGGACCUGAUUAUUUUUUAUAGUAGAAUGUAUUAUGUUUCAAAUACGAUCAAAAGGUAAUUCAUGAUAUCAUCUACAGUCCGAUGACGUCAGUUAUUUUUCCAUAAUAAAAUAGCAUCUAGAUUUACUUUACUCUUUUUCUUUGCACCAGAAGUUGCAGCUUCGGUUCAGAAGACGUCGUCGUCGUCUCUGCGUUUCAAACAAAACCUUCUACAUGAUCACAGGACGAACUUCACCAGCAUGAACACAAACCUCGAAUUCAGAUUCACCAGCAUCAAAUCAAAUCAGAGUUCCCUGAGUACAAGUAGAAGUACUGCAAAUAAUAAUGAUGAUGAUGAUAAUAAUAAUAAUAAUAAUAAUAAUAAUAGGAGUGACAAAGUCCAUUAAAAGUGUUUUUCAAGCUACAAUCUAUAAAGUCAAUAGUUAAACUGCAGCAAAGUCAAAACUUUGUCAGUAUUUAUAUUUUAAAUUAUGCAAACGGCAAUUUUAAUGAAAAACUUUCUCCUUAUUAUAUGUUUUGUAGACGAGCUCCUUGAAAUAGGUUGAAAUCGGAAUUCUUUACAAUUUCACCACAUUCUGAAGAUAUUUCAUGAACAUCUGCGAUCACAGGAGACGAGUUAGUUAACGUAAGUAACUUUCAUUAACGUCAACUAGCGUUAAUGAAAGUUACUUAACGUAACUAACUUUCAUUAACGUCAACUAACGUUAGCUAACGCUGCAUCUGAAUCUGUCCUGAGCUGCAACUUCUGUUUAAAAAAGUGAAUUAGAGUAAAUUACCUCAGGAGAAAUUGUAGUUUUGCUGGAUCCAGAAAUCAAUAACGAGUAUAUUUAUAUAUCGGUUCGAUCAAUGGUUUGAAUUGAAGUGGACGUGUUACCACAUAUUAAUAAAAUAAAAUGCUGAGAAUCCCUUCACAAUAAAAUAGGACGUUGUUUUUGCACUUUGAUCGUCGUGUACUGGUACUACGACAAAAAUAAAUUAGCACAGAUGAGUGUUUGGUACAAACGGAUGAUUUGAGGUAUUUUGUUAUUAAUGUUCAGGUUGUGAAAUGUUGUUUUCAAGAAUCACUGUGUGAAACUAUUAAAAAAGUCCCUCUUGACCAGUGAUUGACGUCAGUGUUGAGUCUUAAAUCUGAAACGAAGACGAGUAGACAUCAGGAGACGAACGUGUCUCACUUCAGAUUCUGGACACAAGAAAAACUUUUCUUCACUUUUCAAGACAAACUUUUUUUUCAGUUUUGCAGCUGAAUUCUGCUUAAAAAUGACGCGAGCAACAAAAUAGAGUUGCAGAUGUUUUCUUACGUUGUCGAUGCAGCAGUUUUAUUUUUGUGCCAGUUUUAGAGAUGAAGUCGUCACGUCUGUGUUUCCGCCUCCACAGUGACGCUAGCGCUUGGUCUCCACACGCUGAUGAGUUUUACCACUAGGGGGCGCUGAGGCUCCGGCUGCCGGUUCAGGAAACGGACUCAGAUUUGAGAGCAGACAUUUUUAAAUGGUUCCACCUGAGCAAAACCAUUUAGCAUCUUUAGUUCCCAGAUACAUAUUAUUCUGCAUUGGAUGGUUCACUUGCUGCUUCCAGGCUUUAUUUCAUCAAGAAAGCGAUAAAACAUUCAUUUCAAAAAUCAAAUAAUGCGCUGUACGCUGUAACUGGCAACAAUAAAAACAGCUGCGUUGUAUCAUUUCAAAACAUGAAACAAACAACCAAUCAAUUUUUUUUUAUAUCUGAUUAAGCGGCAAAUUAUUUCAAAAAUCAAAAUUCCAUUGUUCCUCAGUUACUCGUGAAAUCUGAAAUCUGCCCUGAACCUCGGAGGCAGCGGAGCCUCAGCACUUUGGUACAGAGCCUCUGUUUAAUAGUGAACUGUGCAUUGAGAUUAAUGUUCAACAGACUCAAAUAAAAUGUUUCUAUCAAA